RNAcentral lists this small nucleolar RNA (68 nucleotides) under Moschus moschiferus (Siberian musk deer). RNAcentral describes it as "Small nucleolar RNA SNORD113/SNORD114 family (ENSMMSG00000004674.1)". It matches the Rfam family "Small nucleolar RNA SNORD113/SNORD114 family". Rfam says of the family: The imprinted human domain at 14q32 contains two clusters of tandemly repeated small nucleolar RNAs named 14q(I) and 14q(II) snoRNAs. Lineage: Eukaryota; Metazoa; Chordata; Mammalia; Artiodactyla; Moschidae. The record is from Rfam by way of RNAcentral.
UGGAUCAAUGAUGAUCCAUGCCAGCAUAUAAGACAGCGAUGAUGUGUGUCUGGAACUCUGAGGUCCGA